AGUGAACGCUGGCGGUAGGCCUAACACAUGCAAGUCGAACGGCAGCACAGUAAGAGCUUGCUCUUACGGGUGGCGAGUGGCGGACGGGUGAGGAAUACAUCGGAAUCUACUUUUUCGUGGGGGAUAACGUAGGGAAACUUACGCUAAUACCGCAUACGACCUUCGGGUGAAAGCAGGGGAUCUUCGGACCUUGCGCGAUUGAAUGAGCCGAUGUCGGAUUAGCUAGUUGGCGGGGUAAAGGCCCACCAAGGCGACGAUCCGUAGCUGGUCUGAGAGGAUGAUCAGCCACACUGGAACUGAGACACGGUCCGGACUCCUACGGGAGGCAGCAGUGGGGAAUAUUGGACAAUGGGCGCAAGCCUGAUCCAGCCAUACCGCGUGGGUGAAGAAGGCCUUCGGGUUGUAAAGCCCUUUUGUUGGGAAAGAAAAGCAGCAGGUUAAUACCCCGCUGUUCUGACGGUACCCAAAGAAUAAGCACCGGCUAACUUCGUG
Molecule: ribosomal RNA, 492 nt
Filed under: uncultured bacterium
Lineage: Bacteria
Description: partial 16S ribosomal RNA
Rfam family: Bacterial small subunit ribosomal RNA
Source: RNAcentral